AGGAUUAACGCUGGCGGCGUGCCUAACACAUGCAAGUCGAACGAGGGGGGCAACCCCCGAGUGGCAGACGGGUGAGUAACGCGUGGUCAACCUACCCUAGAGUGGGGAAUAACUAGCCGAAAGGUUAGCUAAUACCGCAUGAUACGUUUUGGGACAUCCCAGGACGUUGAAAGGAGCAAUCCGCUCGAGGACGGGACCGCGUCCGAUUAGCUAGUUGGUGAGGUAACGGCCCACCAAGGCUCCGAUCGGUAGCUGGUUUGAGAGAGCGACCAGCCACACUGGGACUGAGAAACGGCCCAGACUCCUACGGGAGGCAGCAGUGAGGAAUUUUCCGCAAUGGGCGAAAGCCUGACGGAGCGACGCCGCGUGUGGGAAGAAGGCCUUCGGGUCGUAAACCACUGUCGAAGGGACUAUACUGAAGGUACCCUUGGAGGAAGCCCGGCUACUACGCGCCAGCAGCCGC
Molecule: ribosomal RNA, 463 nt
Filed under: uncultured bacterium
Lineage: Bacteria
Description: SSU rRNA
Rfam family: Bacterial small subunit ribosomal RNA
Source: RNAcentral